UUGACGAACGCUGGCGGCGUGCUUAACACAUGCAAGUCGAACGGAAAGGCCCUGCUUUUGUGGGGUGCUCGAGUGGCGAACGGGUGAGUAACACGUGAGUAACCUGCCCUUGACUUUGGGAUAACUUCAGGAAACUGGGGCUAAUACCGGAUAGGAGCUCCUGCUGCAUGGUGGGGGUUGGAAAGUUUCGGCGGUUGGGGAUGGACUCGCGGCUUAUCAGCUUGUUGGUGGGGUAGUGGCUUACCAAGGCUUUGACGGGUAGCCGGCCUGAGAGGGUGACCGGCCACAUUGGGACUGAGAUACGGCCCAGACUCCUACGGGAGGCAGCAGUGGGGAAUAUUGCGCAAUGGGCGGAAGCCUGAUGCAGCAACGCCGCGUGCGGGAUGACGGCCUUCGGGUUGUAAACCGCUUUCGCCUGUGACGAAGCGUGAGUGACGGUAAUGGGUAAAGAAGCACCGGCUAACUACGUGCCAGCAGCCGCGGUGAUACGUAGGGUGCGAGCGUUGUCCGGAUUUAUUGGGCGUAAAGGGCUCGUAGGUGGUUGAUCGCGUCGGAAGUGUAAUCUUGGGGCUUAACCCUGAGCGUGCUUUCGAUACGGGUUGACUUGAGGAAGGUAGGGGAGAAUGGAAUUCCUGGUGGAGCGGUGGAAUGCGCAGAUAUCAGGAGGAACACCAGUGGCGAAGGCGGUUCUCUGGGCCUUUCCUGACGCUGAGGAGCGAAAGCGUGGGGAGCGAACAGGCUUAGAUACCCUGGUAGUCCACGCUGUAAACGGUGGGUACUAGGUGUGGGGUCCAUUCCACGGGUUCCGUGCCGUAGCUAACGCUUUAAGUACCCCGCCUGGGGAGUACGGCCGCAAGGCUAAAACUCAAAGGAAUUGACGGGGCCCCGCACAAGCGGCGGAGCAUGCGGAUUAAUUCGAUGCAACGCGUAGAACCUUACCUGGGUUUGACAUGGAUCGGGAGUGCUCAGAGAUGGGUGUGCCUCUUUUGGGGUCGGUUCACAGGUGGUGCAUGGCUGUCGUCAGCUCGUGUCGUGAGAUGUUGGGUUAAGUCCCGCAACGAGCGCAACCCUUGUUCACUGUUGCCAGCACGUUAUGGUGGGGACUCAGUGGAGACCGCCGGGGUCAACUCGGAGGAAGGUGGGGAUGACGUCAAGUCAUCAUGCCCCUUAUGUCCAGGGCUUCACGCAUGCUACAAUGGCUGGUACAGAGAGUGGCGAGCCUGUGAGGGUGAGCGAAUCUCGGAAAGCCGGUCUCAGUUCGGAUUGGGGUCUGCAACUCGACCUCAUGAAGUCGGAGUCGCUAGUAAUCGCAGAUCAGCAACGCUGCGGUGAAUACGUUCCCGGGGCUUGUACACACCGCCCGUCAAGUCAUGAAAGUUGGUAACACCCGAAGCCGGUGGCCUAACCGUUGUGGGGGAGCCGUCGAAGGUG
RNAcentral lists this ribosomal RNA (1431 nucleotides) under uncultured organism. RNAcentral describes it as "partial small subunit ribosomal RNA". It matches the Rfam family "Bacterial small subunit ribosomal RNA". The record is from RNAcentral.